UGUGAAAAGCGAAAAUAGCGAAGGUAAAGGCCCGUAAAGAGAUUAAAAUUGGAUUUAGUGCGUAUUUUUAAAAUAUUUUACGGUAGCCCCCUCUGCGCAUGACAUACGGGACUUCGCCUUCACCGCAGAGUUUUUGGCGGGAAAAUUUGCAAUGUUUGGAGAAGACAAGAUGGCGCCGGUUUACUUCGUGUCGUCAAAGGGCAUUUUUGUUCACAAAUACACGCUUAUUUUACGUUAUAGCGACUGGUUAGUUUUGUAAAUUAUAACUCAAUGGACAGGGAUUCUGUAGUAAAGAGAAAAAGACGUGCAGUUGUUGACGAAAUUUCGCUACAUCGCUGUACUGGUUUAUAAAAAUUCUACUGGCAACUCGACCAUGGAUAAAGGGACAACGUUUGAAUGAAAGAACAGCCUGUCUUGAUG
Paramuricea clavata is the source of this 420-nucleotide non-coding RNA. Lineage: Eukaryota; Metazoa; Cnidaria; Anthozoa; Malacalcyonacea; Plexauridae. The record is from the annotation of a GenBank genome assembly.